AUGUGCCACGCGUACGCUCCGGUGCUGAGCGCGCCGCACGCACCCGUCUGACGACUGCGCGCCAGGCGUUGUUUGCC
This 77-nucleotide small RNA is filed under the name Xanthomonas nasturtii. Its description in RNAcentral is "sX9 sRNA". It matches the Rfam family "Xanthomonas sRNA sX9". The record is from RNAcentral. Lineage: Bacteria; Pseudomonadati; Pseudomonadota; Gammaproteobacteria; Lysobacterales; Lysobacteraceae.